AAUGAUCGUGUUUCUCUGCAGAUCAACAGUUCUAGUGUAUCUAUACGUAUAAAGCCAUGUAUAUAUACGAAGAGGCAGACCUGGAUGAGUUCCAUGAGGAAAUGAACAUCUUUAGCGUAAAGCUCUGCAGAGAGAUUUUUAACAGCCUGAUGAAGAUCCUCUGUCAGUGGAUUCGCUUCUUCAGCUCCGAUCGAAAACUUGUUUCUUCUUAUUUUCUCUAUGUGCUCCCUUGGUGUCUCCAUUCUUAUCGCCCUGUGAUCUCACAAUACGACUUUUCAGUGUAUCGCUCUGAAGAUUGAAGGACAAAUGUGAGACAUGAAGAAGCAGUUGAAUAGCUUUAGCAUGUNNN
This 349-nucleotide long non-coding RNA is filed under the name Olea europaea (common olive). RNAcentral describes it as "long non-coding RNA (OEUR_LNC000039)". Lineage: Eukaryota; Viridiplantae; Streptophyta; Magnoliopsida; Lamiales; Oleaceae. The record is from RNAcentral.